RNAcentral lists this ribosomal RNA (419 nucleotides) under bacterium. RNAcentral describes it as "partial 16S ribosomal RNA". It matches the Rfam family "Bacterial small subunit ribosomal RNA", at positions 355 to 776 of the family's 1533-position model. The record is from RNAcentral.
UGGGGGAUAUUGCACAAUGGGCGAAAGCCUGAUGCAGCGACGCCGCGUGGGGGAUGAAGGCCUUCGGGUUGUAAACUUCUUUUGCUCUGAACAAGGCGCACCAUGGGGUGUGUUGAGUGUAGGGGUUGAUUAGCGCCGGCUAACUACGUGCCAGCAGCCGCGGUAAUACGUAGGGCGCGAGCGUUGUCCGGAAUUAUUGGGCGUAAAGGGCUUGUAGGUGGCUGGUUGCGUCUGUCGUGAAAGCUCAUGGCUUAACUGUGGGUUUGCGGUGGGUACGGGCUGGCUUGAGUGCAGUAGAGGGGGGUGGAAUUCAUGGUGUAGCGGUGGAAUGCGCGGAUAUCAGGAGGAAUACCGGUGGCGAAGGCGGGUCUCUGGGCUGUUACUGACACUGAGGGGCGAAAGCAUGGGGAGCGAACAGG